UGAGGAAUAUUGGUCAAUGGGCGAGAGCCUGAACCAGCCAAGUCGCGUGAAGGAAGACAGUCCUAAGUAUUGUAAACUUCUUUUAUACGGGAAUAACGGGCGAUACGAGUAUUUCAUUGAAUGUACCGUAAGAAUAAGCAUCGGCUAACUCCGUGCCAGCAGCCGCGGUAAUACGUAGGAUGCGAGCGUUAUCCGGAUUUAUUGGGUUUAAAGGGUGCGUAGGUUGUUCGGUAAGUCAGCGGUGAAACCUGAGCGCUCAACGUUCAGCCUGCCGUUGAAACUGCCGGGCUUUAGUUCAGUGUCGGCAGGCGGAAUUCGUGGUGUAGCGGUGAAAUGCAUAGAUAUCACGAGGAACUCCGAUUGCGAAGGCAGCUUGCCAUACUGCGACUGACACUGAAGCACGAAGGCGUGGGUAUCAAACAGG
RNAcentral lists this ribosomal RNA (424 nucleotides) under Fusobacteriota bacterium. Its description in RNAcentral is "Fusobacteria bacterium partial 16S ribosomal RNA". It matches the Rfam family "Bacterial small subunit ribosomal RNA", at positions 355 to 776 of the family's 1533-position model. The record is from RNAcentral. Lineage: Bacteria; Fusobacteriati; Fusobacteriota.